GGGAAUCUUCCACAAUGGGCGCAAGCCUGAUGGAGCAACACCGCGUGAGUGAAGAAGGGUUUCGGCUCGUAAAGCUCUGUUGUUAAAGAAGAACACGUAUGAGAGUAACUGUUCAUACGUUGACGGUAUUUAACCAGAAAGUCACGGCUAACUACGUGCCAG
RNAcentral lists this ribosomal RNA (162 nucleotides) under uncultured bacterium. Its description in RNAcentral is "partial 16S rRNA". It matches the Rfam family "Bacterial small subunit ribosomal RNA", at positions 357 to 511 of the family's 1533-position model. The record is from RNAcentral.